This 3740-nucleotide ribosomal RNA is filed under the name Triticum aestivum (bread wheat). RNAcentral's name for it is "partial small subunit ribosomal RNA". Lineage: Eukaryota; Viridiplantae; Streptophyta; Magnoliopsida; Poales; Poaceae. The record is from RNAcentral.
UCGCGUACGAUGGUGCGCUCCCUUUUUUUCCGGUGGCUUGGCGCGAUGCACACUCCACGUCGUGUGGUGCGCUUCUCUUUUCGCUGCGCACCCCACCUAUCGCGCCACGCGCCACUUUUGGGAUCGGGUUAGGGAGCGAAGAAGGUCGGGGGUUAGGGAGGUGAGUAGCUCGGGGAGCAGGGGAGCAGGUCCGUGAGGUGGUGGGUGUGGUACGGUGGAGGAGGGGAAGCACAAAGAGGAGGAGGGUAAAUCCGAGGCACCACCGCCGGCUGAGCUCCGUCCCCUCGUCGACUACGCCGUAGCCGCCGCCGUGCUCUCCUCGCCGCCGCCUCCCCUCGACGCUUCUCCACGGCGAGCCCGCGCUCUGCCGUCUCCGCCCGCGCCGACGAGACCAGGGGCUAGACCCCUCCCAUGCUCCGCUUCUUCCCGCGGCGGUAGCAACAGCGGCAACGUCAACCCGUCCCGGAAACCUACCCUUAGUAGAAGUCAUAAGAACAAGUCCAGAACGACAAGCAUCGGUAGUGUGACGCGUGGUAGUCCGUUUUAUUCCGUUGUUUCCGCAUGUUCAUAUAGCGUUCCAGUUACGAUAUACACAUACAUACAUACAUACCUAUACACGAUGACUUCACUCUAAGGCUCUUUUAGGCGUAUGUUCAUAUAGCGUUCCAGUUACGAUAUAUAAGAAUCUACUUUUAAUGUGAUCCAACCGAAAAUUAUAUGAACCUCGUAGCUAUGAAGGCCUGGUCACUUGGCGGCCUGGUUACGACCACGAGUACCUCAAUCAAUCGUUGAAAAAAGACCAGUCGUUUGAGGUUGAAAUAAUUGGGUGAUGUCCUCUCGUCUCUAGAUUCUUUCUUGUCUUCUUCUUCUUAGGACGCCUUCUAAAACCACUUCUUGUUCUACUUGUGAGGAUAUAGACGUAAGUUUCCUUUUCCUGUCCGAUAACACGGAUUUUGAGGAUCGUUUAGUGGCACGGGUUUUUCAUGAGCGGCGUUUGAGACAGAACCUGGGAGAUUUAGAUUCCUGUGACUUGAAAGAUGGAGAUGAUGGUUCCACCGAUCGGUUUGACUUCUCCAACGGCGACGGCCUUUACAACAAGUCGGACGUGGGUACGGUCUACAACCUGUCCUUUGAUUUCCACGUCAACGACUCCUAGGUUUCUUGUGGGAAGGACUGGGGAGAUUCGGGUUCUCUUGUUGGUUAUGGCCGUUCCCCCGACUGUAUGGAUUCUUUCGCUUCGUCAUCAAGAAGGUACCGCAUUAGAUAUAUACAUGUAUGCUAAACUCCUAGGGCUUCUGAGCCAGUAGGAAGAUACUACCACUCGGAUACGGUACUUUCUACCUGCUGUUCGGAUGUAGUAGUUGUUGAGGUAGUAGUGGUGGAAGCUUCUUCCUCUGUAUUUGUGUACCCAUACCAGUGAGGGGAACCGUUGACGGUUCGAACCCCCUCCACGGGGCUAUAGCAUAGUGGUAGUGUGAGGAUAGAAAUGACAAAAAGAAUCAAACUAAGAAAACCAUUAUAGAACUAGAUCAUCUUAUUUCAAAAUCAUACUAGAUCAAACCUCGAAACGAAAUACUAGGAAGAUACAUUAGCUCAGGCACUCGAUAUAUAUUAUUUCUAAUCACAACUCAGUUCCCGAACUAAUAGAAUGAAACUAGAACUGCCUUAUUUUCUUUUUUAUUUUUCUUUAUUUUCUCUAGUAUACCUAGAAUACCUCUCAUUACUGAAGUGUAUAUUUUUCAUACUACUUAUUUUUAACAACUCUCAACUGUUUGUAUCAAAAACAGUAGCAACGUUAAUUAUCCUUCAUUAUUUCUUUCUAUCCAAGAUUGUAUAUUUAUAUGAUAGUACUUGUAGAAAAUACUAACACUCGUGAGUAAUUUUAUACUGUACAAUUUCUCAACUACAACCUGUUCCUUCUGUUACAUUACUCAAUACAAAAAAAUAUAGGCUUUUCCAUAUAACAGUACCUAGUAGGUUGUACAACUCGAACGGAAAGGGAGAGUACGAUCGUUUAAAAAACGUGGUUCAUCUCUAUGAUGAACACGAAGGUUUAUAGGAAUUUGGACCAAAACGGUACUCUCAAGUGGUAUAGAUGGAUACCUAACUCAUUCUAGGAAGUUCAUUCAACAGUACAACGUACGUUAUUUUAAAGAGAAAUUUAUACAUACUAAAAAAUCACACCUCUUUUAUUCGAAAUAUGCUAAAACAUUACACCUUCGUUAUUUUCGCUGCCUGAUGUAUUAUUUCCAGGUAUAGUGUUUACCGUUAUAUUUCACUGCAAGAAAACGUAAUUCUAAAACACGUAGGUUGGUAUUUUCGUGUAGUGUUGGAGACGAAGGGAGGCGCUUCCCGGAUAGAAAAUGAAAACAGAAUAUGGAAAAUGAUCUCAGUACCACUAGAAGUAGAAAGGAAAAAUGUUAAAUAGGAAACCGUUCGUGGAACACAACCUUUCUAGGACUAUAUAUAUAAAUUAACCUACAUUCAAUCGUACUUGAUAAUGACAACUGUAAUGGCAACUCCGGUUUCCAACCCUACGUUGUGAUAUUCGGGGAUAGAAAGAGACACAGGCUAAUUUUGAGGUAUGGGUAUUCAUAACGCACUCACAAUCGUUAACACUUUCUGAUUUACUAUCAACUCAUACACCUGAACGACUUUUCGAGAAUACAACUGAGAAAGGUUACAAUACUAUUUAACGUUAACGAAGUUACUGGCUCUCGUAUCAAACAAUCAGGAGUUACUUCAAAGACUAAGUAUGAACUGUAACACCUAUUUAAUAAUGAACUCGUAUUCUUACUAGUACUACGGAAGUACAGGCAUAAAAUAAAAUAGCUGUGGAGACAGAGGUUUGUACACCUGUAUAAGAAGCAAUAGCCGAAGGCGAACUCCUGUUCACUCCAGAUUCGAACCCCCUCAACUAUGUAGGUAAAAAGUAGUACGAAAAUAUAACUAUAAAUAACGUAAUACCCGACAAUAAUGAUUAAUACAGUGCUAUGAAUACGGAAAAGAGAGAAUAAAAUGUUCCAAAUGUGCUUCUCCCUCUUACGGCCGUCGACCUUAAGACCCGACCUUUUCUUCGUUUAUAAUCUCUGGAUAAGACGUGUUGAGGUUUUCAGGACUUUGAGGCCUUCAAUAAAAACCUUAAUUAUUUUUUAUGACUCGCUUCUUUUAUGGUCUUCCCCAGGUGGGUGGCAGGUGCUCCCACCCCCGCGCGGGAUGGGGGACCCGUGCGGGGGACGGAGCACCCGGUGGACCGUCCGGAGGCCACGGGUAGAAGACGAUAUACUUCAGAAAAUGGGACUUUUUUUAGUAUUCGUUCGAAAGCCCUACUCUGUGUCGGCGGUGAUCCGUCUUGGAACCACCUUGGUUAGAUCCUGAGGCCGCCUCGACAAGACGGCCCCUUUGCAGGGAGGCCCUCCCCCUUUAGUAGUAGUAACUAGGAGAGUCGCCCUCCCCCAUUUAGAGGUAGUUGUAGAAGUGGUCGUGGUAGAGGAGAGUUCGGUUUCAAGUAGAGAACAUAGGUUAGAAACAGGGUUUUGGAGUCUAACCAUGGACACCCAACGAUCAUCACAACUAAUGAGGAACAUCAACUACGAUCAACCAAAUAAGCCAUCUUCUAUUAUACAAAUCUAGGAUAUACGUAUAAUUAUGGGGAUACUAAUACUUGUACUUAUACUAAACACUCAUCAAUGCAAACAAGGAUUCCUGUACCCUCUUCAGAACGAUAUUCAUCAGUACAC